Molecule: non-coding RNA, 48 nt
Organism: Schistosoma haematobium
Lineage: Eukaryota; Metazoa; Platyhelminthes; Trematoda; Strigeidida; Schistosomatidae
Source: Rfam
AUCCGGCUGACGAAUCCCAAAUAAGACGAAACGUGUGUCAUAAUGGAU